Molecule: ribosomal RNA, 551 nt
Filed under: uncultured Bifidobacterium sp.
Lineage: Bacteria; Bacillati; Actinomycetota; Actinomycetes; Bifidobacteriales; Bifidobacteriaceae
Description: bacterial SSU rRNA
Rfam family: Bacterial small subunit ribosomal RNA
Source: RNAcentral
CUCCUGGAAACGGGUGGUAAUGCCGGAUGCUCCGGUUGGAUGCAUGUCCUUCCGGAAAAGAUUUCAUCGGUAUGGGAUGGGGUCGCGUCCUAUCAGGUAGUCGGCGGGGUAACGGCCCACCGAGCCUACGACGGGUAGCCGGCCUGAGAGGGCGACCGGCCACAUUGGGACUGAGAUACGGCCCAGACUCCUACGGGAGGCAGCAGUGGGGAAUAUUGCACAAUGGGCGCAAGCCUGAUGCAGCGACGCCGCGUGCGGGAUGACGGCCUUCGGGUUGUAAACCGCUUUUGAUCGGGAGCAAGCCUUCGGGUGAGUGUACCUUUCGAAUAAGCACCGGCUAACUACGUGCCAGCAGCCGCGGUAAUACGUAGGGUGCAAGCGUUAUCCGGAAUUAUUGGGCGUAAAGGGCUCGUAGGCGGUUCGUCGCGUCCGGUGUGAAAGUCCAUCGCUUAACGGUGGAUCCGCGCCGGGUACGGGCGGGCUUGAGUGCGGUAGGGGAGACUGGAAUUCCCGGUGUAACGGUGGAAUGUGUAGAUAUCGGGAAGAACACC